This 450-nucleotide ribosomal RNA is filed under the name uncultured Glomeromycotina. RNAcentral describes it as "SSU rRNA". It matches the Rfam family "Eukaryotic small subunit ribosomal RNA", at positions 569 to 1024 of the family's 1831-position model. The record is from RNAcentral. Lineage: Eukaryota; Fungi; Glomeromycota.
AGCAGCCGCGGUAAUUCCAGCUCCAAUAGCGUAUAUUAAAGUUGUUGCAGUUAAAAAGCUCGUAGUUGAAUUUCGGGAUCAAAUUGUCGGUCGUGCCUCGGUACGCACUGGUAUUAUUGGUUCCUACCUUCUGAAGAACCGCGAUGUCAUUAAUUUGGUGUCGUGGGGAAUCAGGACUGUUACUUUGAAAAAAUUAGAGUGUUUAAAGCAGGCUUACGCUUGAAUACAUUAGCAUGGAAUAAUGAAAUAGGACGUUUGAUUCUAUUUUGUUGGUUUCUAGGAUUGACGUAAUGAUUAAUAGGGAUAGUUGGGGGCAUUAGUAUUCAAUUGUCAGAGGUGAAAUUCUUGGAUUUAUUGAAGACUAACUACUGCGAAAGCAUUUGCCAAGGAUGUUUUCAUUAAUCAAGAACGAAAGUUAGGGGAUCGAAGACGAUCAGAUACCGUCGUAGU